This 253-nucleotide ribosomal RNA is filed under the name uncultured bacterium. Its description in RNAcentral is "partial 16S ribosomal RNA". It matches the Rfam family "Bacterial small subunit ribosomal RNA", at positions 524 to 776 of the family's 1533-position model. The record is from RNAcentral.
UACGAAGGGGGCUAGCGUUGCUCGGAUUCAUUGGGCGUAAAGGGUGCGUAGGUGGCGCGCUAAGUCAGGUGUGAAAUUUCGGAGCUUAACUCCGAAACUGCAUUUGAUACUGGCGUGCUUGAGGACUGGAGAGGAGACUGGAAUUCACGGUGUAGCAGUGAAAUGCGUAGAGAUCGUGAGGAAGACCAGUGGCGAAGGCGGGUCUCUGGACAGUUCCUGACACUGAGGCACGAAGGCCAGGGGAGCAAACGGG